This 1303-nucleotide ribosomal RNA is filed under the name Chryseobacterium sp. 138I2. RNAcentral's name for it is "bacterial SSU rRNA". It matches the Rfam family "Bacterial small subunit ribosomal RNA", at positions 73 to 1384 of the family's 1533-position model. Lineage: Bacteria; Pseudomonadati; Bacteroidota; Flavobacteriia; Flavobacteriales; Weeksellaceae. The record is from RNAcentral.
UGUUUCUUCGGAAAUGAGAGAGCGGCGUACGGGUGCGGAACACGUGUGCAACCUGCCUUUAUCUGGGGGAUAGCCUUUCGAAAGGAAGAUUAAUACCCCAUAAUAUACUGGAUGGCAUCAUUCGGUAUUGAAAACUCCGGUGGAUAGAGAUGGGCACGCGCAAGAUUAGAUAGUUGGUGAGGUAACGGCUCACCAAGUCUACGAUCUUUAGGGGGCCUGAGAGGGUGAUCCCCCACACUGGUACUGAGACACGGACCAGACUCCUACGGGAGGCAGCAGUGAGGAAUAUUGGACAAUGGGUGAGAGCCUGAUCCAGCCAUCCCGCGUGAAGGACGACGGCCCUAUGGGUUGUAAACUUCUUUUGUAUAGGGAUAAACCUAGAUACGUGUAUCUAGCUGAAGGUACUAUACGAAUAAGCACCGGCUAACUCCGUGCCAGCAGCCGCGGUAAUACGGAGGGUGCAAGCGUUAUCCGGAUUUAUUGGGUUUAAAGGGUCCGUAGGCGGAUCUGUAAGUCAGUGGUGAAAUCUCACAGCUUAACUGUGAAACUGCCAUUGAUACUGCAGGUCUUGAGUGUUGUUGAAGUAGCUGGAAUAAGUAGUGUAGCGGUGAAAUGCAUAGAUAUUACUUAGAACACCAAUUGCGAAGGCAGGUUACUAAGCAACAACUGACGCUGAUGGACGAAAGCGUGGGGAGCGAACAGGAUUAGAUACCCUGGUAGUCCACGCCGUAAACGAUGCUAACUCGUUUUUGGUAUUUCGGUAUCAGAGACUAAGCGAAAGUGAUAAGUUAGCCACCUGGGGAGUACGUUCGCAAGAAUGAAACUCAAAGGAAUUGACGGGGGCCCGCACAAGCGGUGGAUUAUGUGGUUUAAUUCGAUGAUACGCGAGGAACCUUACCAAGGCUUAAAUGGGAAAUGACAGGUUUAGAAAUAGACUUUUCUUCGGACAUUUUUCAAGGUGCUGCAUGGUUGUCGUCAGCUCGUGCCGUGAGGUGUUAGGUUAAGUCCUGCAACGAGCGCAACCCCUGUCACUAGUUGCCAUCAUUAAGUUGGGGACUCUAGUGAGACUGCCUACGCAAGUAGAGAGGAAGGUGGGGAUGACGUCAAAUCAUCACGGCCCUUACGCCUUGGGCCACACACGUAAUACAAUGGCCAGUACAGAGGGCAGCUACACGGUGACGUGAUGCAAAUCUCGAAAGCUGGUCUCAGUUCGGAUUGGAGUCUGCAACUCGACUCUAUGAAGCUGGAAUCGCUAGUAAUCGCGCAUCAGCCAUGGCGCGGUGAAUACGUUCCCGGGCCUUGU